GACUCUGCUCAGUGGCCUGAGCCUUGGCUUUAUAGCCCAAGGUGUGGGUUCAAAUCCCACCAGAGUCA
Non-coding RNA from Scenedesmus sp. NREL 46B-D3, 68 nucleotides. The record is from the annotation of a GenBank genome assembly. NCBI's taxonomy places the organism in Eukaryota, Viridiplantae, Chlorophyta, Chlorophyceae, Sphaeropleales, Scenedesmaceae.